CCACCUUAGAGAUGUAAGUGGAGGAGAUGGAAAACACAUCAAGGACACCGGAGAUAAAGGAGGCGGCGCCGCCCAGUGACUCUCCUAUCACGGUGUCGUCUUUAAUCAAAACAUCGUGACAAUAAUUACCCACGAUUAGGCAUUAUGGGCCUCUAUCUUCUACCAUUUUGUCAAAGGUACGCCUUCUGGUGGGUGGUCUAGGAUCGGAAUGGAAUGGUUAAGCCAUUAAAGAUGGGAAGAAAGGGGGUGUGGAAUAAAGACAAAAUGGGGUUUUGCUGACACUUGUAUUCGUGUUUGCUGAGCGUGAACUGGAACACACGGGGUACGUGUAAUGGCACAUAUGUGUGUGUCACGCAGAGGGUAACUGUACACAAUGAAAAGAGGGGAAGAAGAAAACGCCUUUGCCUUUCGUUCAUACGUGCAACUACCAAUCUCAGGAGCCCCCAGGACACAUCCGAGUUGAUGGACCAAUCACCGUGACAAUAAUUACCCACGAUUAGGCAUGAUGGGCCUCUAUCUUCUACCAUUUUGUCAAAGGUACGCCUUCUGGUGGGUGGUCUAGGAUCGGAAUGGAAUGGUUAAGCCAUUAAAGAUGGGAAGAAAGGGGGUGUGGAAUAAAGACAAAAUGGGGUUUUGCUGACACUUGUAUUCGUGUUUGCUGAGCGUGAACUGGAACACACGGGGUACGUGUAAUGGCACAUAUGUGUGUGUCACGCAGAGGGGAACUGUACACAAUGAAAAGAGGGGAAGAAGAAAACGCCUUUGCC
RNAcentral lists this long non-coding RNA (767 nucleotides) under Olea europaea (common olive). RNAcentral describes it as "long non-coding RNA (OEUR_LNC006594)". Lineage: Eukaryota; Viridiplantae; Streptophyta; Magnoliopsida; Lamiales; Oleaceae. The record is from RNAcentral.